GAUGAACGCUAGCGGCAGGCCUAACACAUGCAAGUCGAGGGGUAACAGGGGUGCUUGCACUUGCUGACGACCGGCGCACGGGUGAGUAACGCGUAUGCAACCUACCUUAUACAGAGGGAUAUUCUUUGGAAACGAAGCGCAAUACCUCAUGGUCUCUAAAUACGGCAUCGUAUUAAGAGUAAAGAUUUAUCGGUAUAAGAUGGGCAUGCGUGACAUUAGCUAGUUGGUGAGGUAACUGCUCACCAAGGCUACGAUGUCUAGGGGGUCUGAGAGGAUUAUCCCCCACACUGGUACUGAGACACGGACCAGACUCCUACGGGAGGCAGCAGUGAGGAAUCUUGGUCAAUGGACGAAAGUCUGAACCAGCCAUGCCGCGUGAAGGAAGACUGCCCUAUGGGUUGUAAACUUCUUUUAUAUAGGAAGAAAAGCUGAUACGUGUAUCUGUCUGACGGUACUAUAAGAAUAAGGACCGGCUAACUCCG
This 482-nucleotide ribosomal RNA is filed under the name uncultured Flavobacteriales bacterium. Its description in RNAcentral is "bacterial SSU rRNA". It matches the Rfam family "Bacterial small subunit ribosomal RNA", at positions 28 to 505 of the family's 1533-position model. Lineage: Bacteria; Pseudomonadati; Bacteroidota; Flavobacteriia; Flavobacteriales. The record is from RNAcentral.